RNAcentral lists this transfer RNA (63 nucleotides) under Rattus norvegicus (Norway rat). It matches the Rfam family "tRNA". Rfam says of the family: Transfer RNA (tRNA) molecules are approximately 80 nucleotides in length. Their secondary structure includes four short double-helical elements and three loops (D, anti-codon, and T loops). The record is from Rfam by way of RNAcentral. Lineage: Eukaryota; Metazoa; Chordata; Mammalia; Rodentia; Muridae.
GGGGAUUUAGCUCAGUGGUAGAGCGCUUGCCUAGCAAGCAUGAGGCCCUAGGUUUGGUCCUCA